Molecule: ribosomal RNA, 440 nt
Filed under: uncultured Pseudomonadota bacterium
Lineage: Bacteria; Pseudomonadati; Pseudomonadota
Description: bacterial SSU rRNA
Rfam family: Bacterial small subunit ribosomal RNA
Source: RNAcentral
CAGCAGUGGGGAAUCUUGCGCAAUGGGUGGAAGCCUGACGCAGCGACGCCGCGUGUGUGACGAAGGCCUUCGGGUCGUAAAGCACUGUCAGCCGGGAAGAAGACAUGCGUAUAAAUUACGCGUGUGUUGACGGUACCGGCGAAGGAAGCACCGGCCAACUCCGUGCCAGCAGCCGCGGUAAGACGGAGGGUGCAAGCGUUGUUCGGAAUCAUUGGGCGUAAAGGGCGCGCAGGCGGCCUCCCAAGUCCGAUGUGAAAGCCCGGGGCUCAACUCCGGAAGCGCAUUGGAAACUGGGUGGCUUGAGUCCGAGAGGGGACCGUGGAAUUCCUGGUGUAGGGGUGAAAUCCGUAGAGAUCAGGAGGAACACCGGAGGUGAAAACGACGGUCUGGAUCGGGACUGACGCUGAGGCGCGAAAGCGCGGGUAGCGAACAGGAUUAGA